RNAcentral lists this unclassified non-coding RNA (428 nucleotides) under Hevea brasiliensis (rubber tree). The record is from RNAcentral. Lineage: Eukaryota; Viridiplantae; Streptophyta; Magnoliopsida; Malpighiales; Euphorbiaceae.
UCUUAGCCUAAUUUGUACUCAACUUGCUUCAAUCUUCCGUUUAUGCUCCUUUUGCAUGUUCGACCAAUAGGACUCCAAAUUCCAAGAGGAUUAAACUUAUUCUUCACCUGUUCAUUACCAAAAUAAGAGCAAAAUGAGAGAGACAUUAACUAUGACAAAGAAAACUAAAUAAAAUUAUGAUAAAGCUAAUAAAAACUUCCAUGACAUCUGUAAAACUCUUGCAAAAUGACCCUAACAUGUGAUGUAAUUAUCAGCAUAUCACAUAAUGUAUUGAAGCAGGCUAUACAUACUGUAAAAUUGGCCUACUGAUAUGAUAUUUACCGUUACAUCCCUCUCAAUUUGAAUUUCACAGAGAAAUGGUACCAUAUUAGGCAUAUCAUCCGUUACAUGUUAUGUUACUGAAAUGGCAUAGCAGAGGAUGAGAAGGA